AACGAACGCUGGCGGCAUGCCUAACACAUGCAAGUCGAACGAGACCUUCGGGUCUAGUGGCGCACGGGUGCGUAACGCGUGGGAACCUGCCCUUAGGUUCGGAAUAACUCCCCGAAAGGGGUGCUAAUACCGGAUAAUGUCUUCGGACCAAAGAUUUAUCGCCUUUGGAUGGGCCCGCGUUGGAUUAGCUAGUUGGUAGGGUAAAAGCCUACCAAGGCGACGAUCCAUAGCUGGUCUGAGAGGAUGAUCAGCCACACUGGGACUGAGACACGGCCCAGACUCCUUCCGGGGGCCGGAAGUGGGGAUAAUUGACAAAGGGCCAAAGCCUUAUCCAGCCAAGCCGGGGGGGUGAUUAAGGCCUUAGGGUUGUAAAGCUCUUUUACCCGGGAUGAUAAUGACAGUACCGGGAGAAUAAGCUCCGGCUAACUCCGUG
This 433-nucleotide ribosomal RNA is filed under the name uncultured bacterium. RNAcentral's name for it is "partial 16S ribosomal RNA". It matches the Rfam family "Bacterial small subunit ribosomal RNA", at positions 29 to 507 of the family's 1533-position model. The record is from RNAcentral.